Long non-coding RNA from Hirundo rustica (Barn swallow), 219 nucleotides. RefSeq lists it as uncharacterized. The record is from RefSeq and is a predicted model, not a curated record. The transcript has 3 exons. Lineage: Eukaryota; Metazoa; Chordata; Aves; Passeriformes; Hirundinidae.
GAAGUCAGAGAGUCAAGGCUCUUCUUUUACCUUUGGUGGCUGUCUAGUCUCAUGGGAAAGGAUACAAAAUAAUCACAAGACUGAGAUAACCUCUGAACGUUUUGAUUGCACAAAGGAGUGAUGAGGCAGUGCAGAGAACAAGGAACCGGAAACAAGAGCAACCAAAAAAGGAAAGAGAGCACUAUGAGGAGAAGAGGAAGAGGUAGAAGUAUUGGCACU